This is a long non-coding RNA of Helianthus annuus (common sunflower), 1238 nucleotides long. RefSeq lists it as uncharacterized. Lineage: Eukaryota; Viridiplantae; Streptophyta; Magnoliopsida; Asterales; Asteraceae. The record is from RefSeq and is a predicted model, not a curated record. The transcript has 6 exons.
CAAAAUUCAAAACCAAAUUUGGGCUCUUUUAUUCAAAAUUCAAACCCUAGAAUCACUGUAAACCCUAUCUCCCAAUAAUUCCAUCCACACCGUUCACUUUCCUUCUCACUCUCAUCACCAAUCUCUCGCGCACAGACCAUCUCAGUACCUGGUUAACUUGAAUAUUACAAAUCAAAGAGACAUCAAAAUCAUGGAGAAGAAUAAUAAGAAUGCUCGGAAGCCUCAUAAGCUGAUAUGUUCGAGAAAAGAGAAAAUAACCAGAGACAAGAAAAACUGUGUGUGUGUGUGUGAGAGAGAGAGAGAGAGAGAGAGAGAGAGACGGGAAGGAGUCUCUGGCAAAGGGAACUAGGGUUCUAGCGACAAGAUUCAACAAGGUUGAACAGUGGAGGUAACAGGUGUUCAGGUCUGGAAUUCAGGGUAAAAUAAUUCAGGAUGUUCAGAUAUGGAAUUCUGAACCGAUGGCUUUGAUCUACAUCCCACUUUUAAUUCCAUGAUUUCUGGUCUUCAGAUGGUGAGUGUGAUGCACGAAGGCACUGGUGGUAUAACAAUCUGAUUAUACAGCUGUUAAAGGAUCUGAAGGAGGAGGAAUCUGAAUUGUUAUUCAUACUACUCCCUCAACUCUUAGAUACUACCCCACCAAGCUUCUGCUUCUUCUUCUUCUUCAGAAAGAGGGAGCUGAAUAGCUGAUGGUUUCUUUGCAUCAUAUAUCAUUGGUAACACCACAUGGUUUUCCAUUAUGGUGAUUGGCGGCUUUACAUUAACUAUAGGCUGGUACUCAUUGAGAGUUUGAGACCACGAAUCAGGGAUAAUCUUGACAGGUCAUAAAGCUGGAGCUUCAUAUAUGGAUGAAUGGGUCAAACGGUUCAAACGGGUCAGAUGUGGGUCAUUCAGUCACGUUUAUUUUCUGUUUUAAUGGGUCUAAAUUAUGGGUCUUUUUGCUUGGUUGAGUCAAAAUGUGGGACCAUGGGCUUCGUUGCUAGGGUUGUUUUUAAGUUGUUUUCUACACGUACAAGUGGUGGCGUUUUAGGUAUUAAAAGUCUCGUGAGUCUCAUUGUAUACAAGUUUUGAUUUCAACUUGUGUAUACAUAAUUACAUAUAGUCACUUCAAAUGGUCUACUCACUUCAACAAUCUAUAAAGACACCUUUAUAGCUGCAAUAGGGUCUUGUGAUCUAGGGUUUGAACCGGUGUACAUCUCCAUAUCGCAAUACAAAAGUAGAAUGCAUCUUUUUUUAUUGAA